Molecule: ribosomal RNA, 253 nt
Filed under: uncultured bacterium
Lineage: Bacteria
Description: partial 16S ribosomal RNA
Rfam family: Bacterial small subunit ribosomal RNA
Source: RNAcentral
UACGUAGGGGGCUAGCGUUGUCCGGAAUCAUUGGGCGUAAAGGGUGCGUAGGUGGCGCCAUAAGUCAGGUGUGAAAUCUCGGGGCUCAACCCCGAAACUGCAUUUGAUACUGUGGUGCUCGAGUACUGGAGAGGAGAUUGGAAUUUACGGUGUAGCAGUGAAAUGCGUAGAUAUCGUAAGGAAGACCAGUGGCGAAGGCGAAUCUCUGGACAGUUACUGACACUGAGGCACGAAGGCCAGGGGAGCAAACGGG